GAUGAACGCUAGCGGCAGGCCUAAUACAUGCAAGUCGAACGAUAUUAUCCAGCUUGCUGGAUAUGAAAGUGGCGCACGGGUGCGUAACGCGUAUGCAACCUACCUUAUUCAGGGGGAUAGCCCGAAGAAAUUCGGAUUAACACCGCAUAAAAUCACAGUUCAGCAUUUGACAAUGAUCAAAUAUUUAUAGGAAUAAGAUGGGCAUGCGUGUCAUUAGCUAGUUGGCGGGGUAACGGCCCACCAAGGCGACGAUGACUAGGGGAUCUGAGAGGAUGGCCCCCCACACUGGUACUGAGACACGGACCAGACUCCUACGGGAGGCAGCAGUAAGGAAUAUUGGUCAAUGGAGGGAACUCUGAGCCAGCCAUGCCGCGUGCAGGAAGACGGCCCUCUGGGUUGUAAACUGCUUUUAUUCGGGAAUAAACCUAUUUACGUGUAAAUAGCUGAAUGUACCGAAGGAAUAAGGAUCGGCUAACUCCGUGCCAGCAGCCGCAGUAA
RNAcentral lists this ribosomal RNA (498 nucleotides) under uncultured bacterium. RNAcentral's name for it is "partial 16S ribosomal RNA". It matches the Rfam family "Bacterial small subunit ribosomal RNA", at positions 28 to 523 of the family's 1533-position model. The record is from RNAcentral.